Molecule: ribosomal RNA, 445 nt
Filed under: uncultured bacterium
Lineage: Bacteria
Description: SSU rRNA
Rfam family: Bacterial small subunit ribosomal RNA
Source: RNAcentral
AGAACGAACGCUGGCGGCAUGCCUAACACAUGCAAGUCGAACGAGACCUUCGGGUCUAGUGGCGCACGGGUGCGUAACGCGUGGGAAUCUGCCCUUAGGUACGGAAUAACAGUGAGAAAUUACUGCUAAUACCGUAUGAUGUCUUCGGACCAAAGAUUUAUCGCCUAGGGAUGAGCCCGCGUUGGAUUAGCUAGUUGGUGGGGUAAAGGCCUACCAAGGCGACGAUCCAUAGCUGGUCUGAGAGGAUGAUCAGCCACACUGGGACUGAGACACGGCCCAGACUCCUACGGGAGGCAGCAGUGGGGAAUAUUGGACAAUGGGCGAAAGCCUGAUCCAGCAAUGCCGCGUGAGUGAAGAAGGCCUUCGGGUUGUAAAGUCUCUUUUGGCGGGACGAUGAUGACGGUACCCGCAGAAUAACGCCCGGCUAACUUCGCGCCAGCACCGC